GCCUAUGCAUUUCGUCUGAAGGAGCAGCCACAGGUGGCAGAAACAGAUUUGCUAACUGGUUGUGUAGAAAUAGCUACAGCUGGUUGGGAUUUUUUUUUUUAAGACAGCUGAAAAACAGAGGUGGAAGGAGGUGUGCUUCUUUCUGCAAGAGGAAUUCAAAGCUCCUCUUGGUGUCAAAGAAGUCAGCACAACUCUCACUCCCAAUGUCUGAUACCAAGGGGAAAAAAGACUGCCAAGGAAUAAUGUGGUGUUUCCAGCUUGUAUAGUCCCACCAAAACAAGCAGCUAAGCAAGAUUGCUUUCCAGCUUCAAACUGUGAUGUGUGGAGGAAAUAAAUUCUUCAUGUGUUGCUGGUUCAAAUCACUGGCCUCCAAGAAUCCUGUAGCUGGAAAUGCUGAAGACAGACAUCUCUAAUGGGUCGUUUUGGACAGCCUCCUGCCAGGAUAUGAUUAAUCCCUCCAGAGCUACGUUAGUGCUUGAUGAACAGCAAUGCUAUCUACAAGUACACAAUGUUGUCCAUAAACAUAGAUGAGCAGAAAGAAGAUACUGGUGCCUGUGGUCAACAGAUACCCUCCUCUGUCACCUCUGCUUUUAUUCUGUGUUGCCUUUAAUUUUAUUCCUCAUGUUGGAUAGACAGGAAAAGAAAGGAUUAUUUGAAAUAGUCCAUAAGAGACCAAAGUCCUUAAUUUAUCAAUUUGUGUUGGUUUCAUUGUGUUUGCUUCUCAGACAUCUGCAUGUUUUUCCUAAUGUGUUGUGGGGUCUUUUUCUCUGAGUGUAUCUGUGGAUUUUGUAGGAUGGGAGAUGUUUGGUCACCUAUUAGUAGACUUGGUGCAUCCCUCAAAGGAUAUCUUGUUUGAUCAACAGGUUGCUCCUGGUUCUUGGAAGCUUAUGAGUUCUCACUAGCACCAUUGGAGUACACUACUGGCUGUUUUUCCAAUGAGAAGUUUUAAUAAGAUUGUUUCAGUCAGGGUGGAGUCUAUAAUCUUAAUUUUUGAGAGCAGUAGAGUGAUUUCUUGGAGUGAUGGUAAAUGUCUUUGUUACCUUUACGAAGUGUUGAGCCUAUUGGAGAAAUUUUUGAACCUACUCCUAAGAUACUGCUGGACCCACCCCAGCUGGUAAAAUCAUCUGGUAGGGUGAGACCCAUGUGAGGGAAGGGGAUUGUCAGUACUAGUCUUCAGUGUUCACUUUUAAUGAAUUUUUUCAAGCUUUUAGUAUUGUCUCUCUCAAUCUGCAAGUCCUUUAGAGUCCUUAAUAGUUUCUGUCUAUGCCCAUGGCAGUAGCUAUGAAUGUUUUAAUCUAAUCUACUUGGUGAUGAAGCUGUAUUCAAUUUCAUCUCAAGAUUAGAUCUCUGCAAUGCACCUACAUCCAGUUGAACCCUGUGACCAGAGCCAAACCUCAACUGUGUUUUAUUUGCGUUGAGGCACCCCAUUAACAGCCAACAAUGUCUACACUCCACUACUUGAAAAAUAUUUUUAGUCUAUUUUUUGCAUUAAAUAGUUAUGAUCCUUGCUGUAGAAACCAUCUCAGGUUUUUUUUAUUCUGUAUCAGUGAAGAUAAACUGAUGUGCCUUGAGGGAUCAGGAAGGAGGGUGUCGGCCUGGGAGCUGAUGGAGAGCUCCCUGGCUGGUGGAGAUACGCAUCUUAUAGUCUGUGCAGAACUGUAGGCUCUCAGGUGACUCUGCAGAAUUCAAGUUUACCCAAGUUUUUGGAAGGGAGGGGAGAUGCCAAUAGGAUAUGAUGACAAGGCAUUGGUUUGUUUUCAGCUGUGAUGAUCUAAGAGUAUCUUUGCUCUGGUAACAGUUAGUGAUGACUAACUGUGAAUCUAGAUAAGUGUGUUUUUAUAUUCUGAGAUAUUAAGGAAUAGGCGUGCUCUGCCCAAGCUCAAAUCCUUCUCAAAAGGCAAUUUCUCCAUUCUACUUGUUACACUUAAUGUGCUUGGGGUUAUACUUUCAUGUAUCUAAUUAAAUUAUUCUUAAAGAACAUCAAAAUGUAUGUGAGAGAUGAUGUUUUCUGUUGCUAGCUAGCAAUGUUUUGUAGUUCCCCAAUUACAGUUUCAAAUAUAUUUAUUGUAGUAGGUGAUAUUUAAGGCUAAAUGGUCUAUUGUUUACAUCUUGUGUGUGUUCCUUUUGCUGCUUCCCUGAGCAAAGUAUGACAGUGUAACACAUCCUCUGGAGGCUCACAGCUAAGGAAAAGUUGUUUCUCUAUUAAAAAAAUACUUCUUCCUCUGUGGUAGUCUUAGAAGGAAUCCGAUUUUCUAAGUUUGGUUAAAGUGCUACACGCAUCACUUUUAAAAUAGCAGCCCUUUAUUUUAGGAAAAUAAUUCAAUUCAUGAUGUUCUGCUUCCCCCUCCUGAACUGAACUUAGAUAUGAAUGGGACGUGAGUACUUGGUGUCCUGAAAUGAAAUAUUUUUCUCAGCUGGAGCCCAUGUGCAGUGAAGAAACAGCAUGGGUGGGGCAAAGUUUUGUUUUGUUGGUGACCUAGGAGAUGUGCAGAGAGGACAGCCUGGACAGUUUUAACAGAGCUCCAAGAGAACUUACAGAACUUGUCCAGAGCCCAGUUCUGUCAGUGGCAGAAGUCCCCCUCAUUCAGAAGGAGCAGGCUCAGGCUCAGUGUUUGUAAAACAUAUGCUCAUCAUCCCCAGGCUUCUUACACCUAUAAUAUUUCAUAUGACUUUUCUCUGAAAUGACACUUCUUAUUUGUUGAGCAGAAUUGCCUGUUUUUCUCCUUGGUGCAUAUAUACAAAGUACCUUUUCUUUUUCUUAUCUUUUUAGGUAGGAUUUUCUAUCAGCAUAUUUUAUUUGGGAAAUAGCAGGUGACACUUAUGGAUCUUCCCCUUUCCUUUUUUUUCCUGAAGAAAAACACCCACAGCAUAGAACACCCUUGGAAAAGUCAAGCAAGAACCUGUAUGCUGUGAUGUGCUGUACUAACAAAUGUAUUCUAGUGCACAUUGAGCAACAUAAAUAUGUAAAUGUUUUACAACAUGUGUACUUACAUAUCCUACCUUCUUUUAUCUUCUUGCUCUGCAUACACAAAGUUACAUAUAUCUGGUAGAGUCUGCUCUGUUAACAAUAAUGCUGAAUAUGUAAAUCCCCCCAGUUUUUACAACCAGUGCUUUAGGUUGCAUUUACUGUAAACAAAGAUGUAUUUUUGGGGGCUGUUGGUUUGAGUUUAUUGUUUAUGUAAAUCUCUCAGAAUGUGACAUAGCCAGAUAGCUUCCUAUGUUGUGCUGAUCCACAUUUUAGGCCAGCAGCCAAAGUAUUUUAUCUUUUACUUCAUUAUAGUGAUCUUCCAAUUAGCUGUGGUCUGUAAUACCCUGAUUUUGGUGGCAGUGGUUUGGGGAGGAUUGUUUGAUAGUUCUGCUCGAGAGGCAAAAUGAGGGGCCUUAUUAUAGAAAGUGCAGAGGUUGUGCAGUAGCUGAGUUCUGUUGCAAAGUUUGCCGAUAAGGGAAAACUGGCCCUUGAGCAUCCAUUCUAUUCUGUAUAUUAACACUUCUAAUCUGCACUGCUGAUAAAACUGCAAGCCAUUUGCCUUUGGAGGAAUUAGUUCUGCCUCACUUGUGUAACCAGGCGAUGGUGAUUAACCUUUAAACUGUCCAAUAUUCUCAGCAGACUCCUGCUCCAGAUUAGAAACUAUUUAGUUAUGACCAACUAAAUUAACAACAUUCCCUCCUCUGAAGAAUAAGAUUUGGAAGGUAUGCAUUUUAAGGUGGAAUGUGGAUAAUGUCCUUAUUUAUUCACUCACCACUUUUGCUACAAAAAAUGUAUUCAUCAGUUGAAAAGAAAGGGAAAGGAGAGAGGGAGUUCAAUUUCAGAUUGAAACAAUCUACAGUUAGUUACGUACAGGAGGUGAUUUGGGUGAUUUUGACUUGGGGUGCUGCUUUAGAUGGCUGAGACCUGUUUCUGACUUUUCAUUCUUAAAUAAAACUUACAGGGCAGGGGAUAAAAUGGGCAGGUUGGUGCUCUGGUGUGGGCAGCAUUUUAGGAAAAAGAUUUCCUUCCUUUGAAAGGAAAGGCAAUUAUCUCAAUUCUCCAGAAGAGUAAUUAUUGGAAGAUUGCUAACCUUUCUGUCACAAUCAUGCAAAACAAAAGGUUUUGUACGUGGUGGUUACAGACCGACAUAUCCAAUGGACUUUAGCUGCUGUGAUAACCUAGUACUGUACCAUUGUAUCUACAUAUUUUAAAUGUGUAAUUUAUCAGUUGAAACAUACCCUUCAAUACAUGUGCCAUAAAAGAAAAGAGUGAGGGCAAUUAUGUAAUAGUAUAGUGUUUGUCUGACAUGCCUUAAAUCCCCAUAUUGUUAUUCCUCACUGAAUAACAAAUACAAAAUCCCUGUUAGCAAUGUUUUCCGUUUUACCAGUUUUAUAUUAGCUGCCUCCUUAAAAAUUGCUAAUCUAGAUACUACAUUAGUAGGAUGUCAGUCAAACUGCAAUCCACAGUGAAGCCUUCUUCAUAUACCAAUUUAAAUCAUUCAUGGUCCUUUCUUUGGCAUUAUUCAAAAGAUCAUAAUAAUUUUCUUGUGCCCACAGCACAAAAAAAUCAAUUAUUUCCCCACAAAGACUUGAAAGUACUUAGCGAAUGCUGUAAGAAAAGCUGAGGGUUAUAUCAAAUUGAAAUUGCACUCAUUACACACAACACAAUUAGUUGCCACUAGUCUGGCCGGUGCUUUAAUUCUGAAUGGCAUAUCUUUAUUAUUACAGAAACAAGCAUGCAAAUGGCAUUGUUCAGGAUUUGCAGAAAUCAAUAGGAUAUAGUGCUGUGUGUUUGGUGGCCACUGUCACUCAGUCUGCUGUGGAUUUGAGAUAAUGUGUGUAUUUGAAUUAAUGAAGGGAACGUGAGACAUCAUAAGUGACACCCAAAUAAAAGAAAUGGGUACAUGAUAUUUGUAAUUAU
Molecule: long non-coding RNA, 4888 nt
Organism: Passer domesticus (house sparrow)
Lineage: Eukaryota; Metazoa; Chordata; Aves; Passeriformes; Passeridae
Exons: 4
Source: RefSeq, a predicted model, not a curated record